CUCAUCGAUUCUGUCGGUUUGUUGCCUAAGUCUUUCGAUAGGGCCCUCCUAUGGCUUCCAUUCUCCACCUCCUCCAUUCACUCUGCCAGCCGCAGUCGGUUCCCCACUCCCCAGUAAUACGCUUCCCUCCAUUAGCAUUUCUGGCAUUUAGUUUGCUGUUAUUGAUAGCACAUUUCAUACGGAUCGAUUAUAAAUUGUUUUCAUCUGAUUUGCAUUUUCCACAGCCAGCGGCAUAAUAGACCCUCGUAAUUUUAUGGUAAUUCUAGUGGAAAACCAUUUAUAGUUAUUUGUAGCAAUUUAAGUUACUGUAG
This 311-nucleotide long non-coding RNA is filed under the name Drosophila guanche. Lineage: Eukaryota; Metazoa; Arthropoda; Insecta; Diptera; Drosophilidae. The record is from RNAcentral.